RNAcentral lists this ribosomal RNA (1011 nucleotides) under uncultured bacterium. RNAcentral describes it as "bacterial SSU rRNA". It matches the Rfam family "Bacterial small subunit ribosomal RNA", at positions 8 to 1027 of the family's 1533-position model. The record is from RNAcentral.
AGAGUUUGAUCAUGGCUCAGGACGAACGCUGGCGGCGUGCUUAACACAUGCAAGUCGAACGGAAUCCAUGGUGUAGCAAUACACCGGAAGAUUUAGUGGCGAACGGGUGAGGAUCACGUGAGAAACGUGCCCCAGACUCUGGGAUAACAAUUGGAAACGAUUGCUAAUACCGGAUGACGUCGGAGAACCGCAUGGUUCACUGACGAAAGAUAUUUCGGUUUGGGAGCGUCUCGCGGCCUAUCAGCUUGUUGGUGGGGUAAUGGCCUACCAAGGCAACGACGGGUAGCUGGUCUGAGAGGAUGAUCAGCCACACUGGGACUGAGACACGGCCCAGACUCCUACGGGAGGCAGCAGUGGGGAAUCUUGCGCAAUGGGCGAAAGCCUGACGCAGCAACGCCGCGUGCGGGAUGAAGGCCUUCGGGCUGUAAACCGCUUUCAGCAGGAACGAAAAUGACGGUACCUGCAGAAGAAGGAGCGGCCAACUACGUGCCAGCAGCCGCGGUGACACGUAGGCUCCAAGCGUUGUCCGGAUUUAUUGGGCGUAAAGAGCUCGUAGGCGGUUGAGUAAGUCGGGUGUGAAAACUCUGGGCUUAACCCGGAGACGCCAUCCGAUACUGCUCUGACUAGAGUUCAGGAGGGGAGUGGGGAAUUCCUAGUGUAGCGGUGAAAUGCGCAGAUAUUAGGAGGAACACCGGUGGCGAAGGCGCCACUCUGGACUGAAACUGACGCUGAGGAGCGAAAGCAUGGGUAGCAAACAGGAUUAGAUACCCUGGUAGUCCAUGCCGUAAACGGUGGGCACUAGGUGUGGGUUCCAACUAACGGGAUCCGCGCCGUCGCUAACGCAUUAAGUGCCCCGCCUGGGGAGUACGGUCGCAAGACUAAAACUCAAAGGAAUUGACGGGGGCCCGCACAAGCAGCGGAGCGUGUUGCUUAAUUCGAUGCUACGCGAAGAACCUUACCUGGGUUUGACAUGUUUGGAAAAGCCACAGAGAUGUGGUGUCCGCAAGGGCC